UACGUAGGAUCCGAGCGUUGUCCGGAUUUACUGGGUGUAAAGGGCGUGUAGGUGGAUCUUUAAGUCGAUGGUGAAAUCCUGCAGCUUAACUGCAGAACGGCCAUUGAUACUGGAGGUCUUGAGUGCGGCAGAGGGAGAUGGAAUUCAUGGUGUAGCGGUGAAAUGUGUAGAUAUCAUGAAGAACACCGGUAGCGAAGGCGGUCUCCUGGUCCGCAACUGACACUGAGGCGCGAAAGCGUGGGGAG
This 245-nucleotide ribosomal RNA is filed under the name uncultured bacterium. RNAcentral's name for it is "partial 16S ribosomal RNA". It matches the Rfam family "Bacterial small subunit ribosomal RNA", at positions 524 to 768 of the family's 1533-position model. The record is from RNAcentral.